RNAcentral lists this ribosomal RNA (277 nucleotides) under uncultured bacterium. RNAcentral's name for it is "partial 16S ribosomal RNA". It matches the Rfam family "Bacterial small subunit ribosomal RNA", at positions 68 to 339 of the family's 1533-position model. The record is from RNAcentral.
CAGCAUGAACUUAGCUUGCUAAGUUUGAUGGCGACCGGCGCACGGGUGAGUAACACGUAUCCAACCUGCCGAUGACUCGGGGAUAGCCUUUCGAAAGAAAGAUUAAUACCCGAUGGCAUAGUUCUUCCGCAUGGUAGAACUAUUAAAGAAUUUCGGUCAUCGAUGGGAAUGCGUUCCAUUAGGUUGUUGGCGGGGUAACGGCCCACCAAGGCGACGAUCAGUAGCCGGACUGAGAGGUUGACCGGCCACAUUGGGACUGAGAUACGGCCCAGACUCC